Long non-coding RNA from Bradysia coprophila, 147 nucleotides. Lineage: Eukaryota; Metazoa; Arthropoda; Insecta; Diptera; Sciaridae. The record is from RefSeq and is a predicted model, not a curated record.
ACAAUAGAUUGUGGAUUCGAGCACUGUUUCACAGGACUCUCAAUGACUGACGCUGUCGGCAAGUCGGUCACUUCUGUCACUUCACCGAACAAUAUUUUCAUAGACAAUGUGAUAAAAAAUUUAAUUACAUAACAAAUGAUUUUGUUU